AGCAGCCGCGGUAAUUCCAGCUCCAAUAGCGUAUAUUAAAGUUGUUGCAGUUAAAAGCUCGUAGUUGAAUUUCGGGGUUAGCAGGUCGGUCGUGCCAUCGGUAUGAACUGGUCUCGCUGAUCCCUCCCUCUUGACGAACUGUGAUGCCAUUAAUUUGGUGUCGCAGGGAAUCAGGACUGUUACUUUGAAAAAAUUAGAGUGUUUAAAGCAGGCUCACGCUUGAAUACAUUAGCAUGGAAUAAUGAAAUAGGACGUUUGAUCCUAUUUUGUUGGCUUCUAGGAUUGACGUAAUGAUUAAUAGGGAUAGUUGGGGGCAUUAGUAUUCAAUUGUCAGAGGUGAAAUUCUUGGAUUUAUUGAAGACUAACUACUGCGAAAGCAUUUUGCCCAAGGAUGUUUUGCAUUAAUCAAGAACGAAAGUUAGGGGAUCGAGACGAUCAGAUACCGUCGUAGUCUUAACCAUAAACUAUGCCGACUAGGGAUCGGAUGAUGUUAAUUUUUUCAAUGACUCAUUCGGCGCCU
RNAcentral lists this ribosomal RNA (520 nucleotides) under uncultured Glomus. Its description in RNAcentral is "SSU rRNA". It matches the Rfam family "Eukaryotic small subunit ribosomal RNA", at positions 569 to 1088 of the family's 1831-position model. Lineage: Eukaryota; Fungi; Glomeromycota; Glomeromycetes; Glomerales; Glomeraceae. The record is from RNAcentral.